CCUACGGGAGGCAGCAGUAGGGAAUCUUCCACAAUGGGCGAAAGCCUGAUGGAGCAACGCCGCGUGGGUGAAGAAGGUCUUCGGAUCGUAAAACCCUGUUGGUAGAGAAGAAAGUGCGUGAGAGUAACGGUUCACGUUUCGACGGUAUCUAACCAGAAAGCCACGGCUAACUCCGUGCCAGAAGCCGCGGUAAUACGUAGGUGGCAAGCGUUAUCCGGAUUAACUGGGCGUAAAGGGAACGCAGGCGGUCUUUUAAGUCUGUUGUGAAAGCCUUCGGCUUAACCGGGGUAGUGCAUUGGAAACUGGGAGACUUGAGUGCAGAAGGGGGGAGUGGAACUCCAUGUGUAGCGGUGAAAUGCGUAGAUAUAUGGAAGAACACCAGUGGCGAAAGCGGCCCUCUGGUCUGUAACUGACGCUGAGGUUCGAAAGCGUGGGUAGCAAACAGGAUUAGAUACCCUUGUAGUC
This 465-nucleotide ribosomal RNA is filed under the name uncultured bacterium. Its description in RNAcentral is "partial 16S ribosomal RNA". It matches the Rfam family "Bacterial small subunit ribosomal RNA", at positions 338 to 795 of the family's 1533-position model. The record is from RNAcentral.